CCGUAGGAAUAACAUACAAGAAGAAGCAUAUCUUCCAAUGUUCUUUUGUUCAAGGACGUGUUGUUGGAAGAAUCUUCCCUGCUCCAUGUGAGAAUCUUGAUUUGUAUGAUGAUGGAGGAAAACUACUUAGGCAAGCAACAACACAGAAUACGAAGGACUUGGAUUAUGAUGGUUGAGACGAAAGGUGCUUUAUUCCUUAAAUGAAAAUGUUGGUACAACAGCUGAUGGCUCGUCGCCGAUUGGAAGAAUCUUCCCUGCCCCAUGUGAGAAUCUUGAUUUGUAUGAUGAUGGAGGAAAACUACUUAGGCGAGCAACAACUCAGAAUAUGAAGGACCUGGAUUAUGAUGGUUGAGACGAAAGGUGCUCUAUUCUUUAAAUGAAAAUGUUGGCACAACAGCUAAUGGCUCGUCGCCAGCAAC
RNAcentral lists this long non-coding RNA (419 nucleotides) under Nicotiana benthamiana. RNAcentral's name for it is "long non-coding RNA (NBEN_LNC041128)". Lineage: Eukaryota; Viridiplantae; Streptophyta; Magnoliopsida; Solanales; Solanaceae. The record is from RNAcentral.